RNAcentral lists this ribosomal RNA (1562 nucleotides) under Staphylococcus pseudintermedius. RNAcentral's name for it is "partial 23S ribosomal RNA". It matches the Rfam family "Bacterial large subunit ribosomal RNA", at positions 1270 to 2832 of the family's 2925-position model. The record is from RNAcentral. Lineage: Bacteria; Bacillati; Bacillota; Bacilli; Caryophanales; Staphylococcaceae.
CAUGUGGAGCGCUUAGAAGUGAGAAUGCCGGUGUGAGUAGCGAAAGACGGGUGAGAAUCCCGUCCACCGAUUGACUAAGGUUUCCAGAGGAAGGCUCGUCCGCUCUGGGUUAGUCGGGUCCUAAGCUGAGGCCGACAGGCGUAGGCGAUGGAUAACAGGUUGAUAUUCCUGUACCACCAUUAUUCGUUUUAAGCGAUGGGGGGACGCAGUAGGAUAGGCGAAGCGUGCUGUUGGAGUGCACGUCCAAGCAGUGAGAUUGAGUGUUAGGCAAAUCCGGCACUCUUAAGAUUGAGCUGUGAUGGGGAGAGGAACUUGUUCCUCGAGUCGUUGAUUUCACACUGCCGAGAAAAGCCUCUAGCUAGAAUAACGGUGCCCGUACCGCAAACCGACACAGGUAGUCAAGAUGAGAAUUCUAAGGUGAGCGAGCGAACUCUCGUUAAGGAACUCGGCAAAAUGACCCCGUAACUUCGGGAGAAGGGGUGCUCUUUGAGGUUCACGCUUCGAAGAGCCGCAGUGAAUAGGCCCAAGCGACUGUUUAUCAAAAACACAGGUCUCUGCUAAACCGUAAGGUGACGUAUAGGGGCUGACGCCUGCCCGGUGCUGGAAGGUUAAGAGGAGUGGUUAGCGCAAGCGAAGCUACGAAUCGAAGCCCCAGUAAACGGCGGCCGUAACUAUAACGGUCCUAAGGUAGCGAAAUUCCUUGUCGGGUAAGUUCCGACCCGCACGAAAGGCGUAACGAUUUGGGCACUGUCUCAACGAGAGACUCGGUGAAAUCAUAGUACCGGUGAAGAUGCCGGUUACCCGCGACAGGACGGAAAGACCCCGUGGAGCUUUACUGUAGCCUGAUAUUGAAAUUCGGUACAGUUUGUACAGGAUAGGUAGGAGCCUUAGAAGCGUGAGCGCUAGCUUACGUGGAGGCAUUGGUGGGAUACUACCCUAAUUGUAUUGGAUUUCUAACCCGCAGCACUUAUCGUGCUGGGAGACAGUGUCAGGCGGGCAGUUUGACUGGGGCGGUCGCCUCCUAAAGAGUAACGGAGGCGCUCAAAGGUUCCCUCAGAAUGGUUGGAAAUCAUUCAUAGAGUGUAAAGGCAUAAGGGAGCUUGACUGCGAGACCUACAAGUCGAGCAGGGUCGAAAGACGGACUUAGUGAUCCGGUGGUUCCGCAUGGAAGGGCCAUCGCUCAACGGAUAAAAGCUACCCCGGGGAUAACAGGCUUAUCUCCCCCAAGAGUUCACAUCGACGGGGAGGUUUGGCACCUCGAUGUCGGCUCAUCGCAUCCUGGGGCUGUAGUCGGUCCCAAGGGUUGGGCUGUUCGCCCAUUAAAGCGGUACGCGAGCUGGGUUCAGAACGUCGUGAGACAGUUCGGUCCCUAUCCGUCGUGGGCGUAGGAAAUUUGAGAGGAGCUGUCCUUAGUACGAGAGGACCGGGAUGGACAUACCUCUGGUGUACCAGUUGUCGUGCCAACGGCAUAGCUGGGUAGCUAUGUAUGGACGGGAUAAGUGCUGAAAGCAUCUAAGCAUGAAGCCCCCCUCGAGAUGAGAUUUCCCAACUUCGGUUAUAAG